Molecule: long non-coding RNA, 610 nt
Organism: Numida meleagris (helmeted guineafowl)
Lineage: Eukaryota; Metazoa; Chordata; Aves; Galliformes; Numididae
Exons: 5
Source: RefSeq, a predicted model, not a curated record
CGUGGUGCGGCCGUUAGCCGGCGGGGGCUCAGGUGGGAGCGUGCGCUCCGUCAGUUGCCGUUCGGUGCGCGUGUCCUUGCGAAGGCGCUUCUGCGCUUGGAAGGGGCGCGUUCCAGAUCCUGAGCUCCAUGGUACCUGUUUUCAUUGCUUCAUCCAGGCCAGUGUCACUCAGCUUUUUCUGCCAGCAAGUAUCCAGGGCAUGGGUGCUUCUCUGUCAUGUAUCUAGAUCUUCAGACUGGCUGGAGGCCCAGAAUCAAGAAAGGUGCUGGGCUGCUGCUGGAGAGAUGAUUUGAUAUGUAGGUCGCUCUGAAAGAACCUGACACAAAAUGCAGCUUUCUCAGCAGGGAAGAUUGGCCUCUUUACAUUGGAAGACCUUUGUCAGUGGUGUAUGCAUUUCAGAGUGCUCCCACCUUCUUUGUACAGCUUGGUGAAAUAUAUUAGUCUCAAUACAAAGGCUUAAAUACACUCCGAUUUGGAGAGCAGCAUAUUUAAAUUGGCACUCUGCACAUUGAUGCUUCUACAGAGACACCAUCAGCACACACUCUCCAGGUAACUGCACUGCUUGCAGAACAUGUGUUUGUUAUUUUUUUGUUUUGUUUUUCCUUGAAAC